Haemonchus contortus (barber pole worm) is the source of this 75-nucleotide non-coding RNA. The record is from Rfam. Lineage: Eukaryota; Metazoa; Nematoda; Chromadorea; Rhabditida; Trichostrongylidae.
GGCAUAAACUUGAAGAACAGUAGUUUAGUGGGGUUAGCCGAUCCUAUUCAUCUAUUGUACUUCAAAUUUAGGCCC